UGCAGUCGAGGGGCAGCGCAGUGUAGCAAUACAUGGGCGGCGACCGGCAAACGGGUGCGGAACACGUACACAACCUUCCUAUAAGUGGGGGAUAGCCCAGAGAAAUUUGGAUUAAUACCCCGUAAGAUAACGAUGUGGCAUCAUAUUGUUAUUAAAGCUACGGCGCUUAUUGAUGGGUGUGCGGCUGAUUAGAUAGUUGGCGGGGUAAUGGCCCACCAAGUCUACGAUCAGUAGCUGAUGUGAGAGCAUGAUCAGCCACACGGGCACUGAGACACGGGCCCGACUCCUACGGGAGGCAGCAGUAAGGAAUAUUGGUCAAUGGACGCAAGUCUGAACCAGCCAUGCCGCGUGAAGGAUUAAGGUCCUCUGGAUUGUAAACUUCUUUUAUAUGGGACGAAAAAAGGGUAAUCUUAUCCGUCUGACGGUACCAUAUGAAUAAGCACCGGCUAACUCCGUGCCAGCAGCCGCGGUAAUACGGAGGGUGCAAGCGUUAUCCGGAUUCACUGGGUUUAAAGGGUGCGUAGGCGGGCAGGUAAGUCAGUGGUGAAAUCCUAGAGCUUAACUCUAGAACUGCCAUUGAUACUAUCUGUCUUGAAUAUUGUGGAGGUAAGCGGAAUAUGUCAUGUAGCGGUGAAAUGCUUAGAUAUGACAUAGAACACCUAUUGCGAAGGCAG
This 674-nucleotide ribosomal RNA is filed under the name uncultured bacterium. Its description in RNAcentral is "bacterial SSU rRNA". It matches the Rfam family "Bacterial small subunit ribosomal RNA", at positions 56 to 724 of the family's 1533-position model. The record is from RNAcentral.